This 152-nucleotide microRNA precursor is filed under the name Pelobates cultripes (western spadefoot toad). Lineage: Eukaryota; Metazoa; Chordata; Amphibia; Anura; Pelobatidae. The record is from RNAcentral.
ACACAUUCCAGCCAAUCAGCAGCAGACCCUCUCUCCCAGACCCUCCCACCUCCUGGACAGCUCACUAAGAAUGCAGCUUCACAAUGGAUGCUGUCCAGGAGGUGGGAGGGUCUGGGAGGGAGGGUCUGCUGCUGAUUGGCUGGAAUGUGUCG